GAUGAAGAACGCAGCGAAAUGCGAUAAGUAGUGUGAAUUGCAGACUUUAGUGAAUCAUCGAAUCUUUGAACGCACAUUGCGCCCCUUGGUAUUCCAUUGGGCAUGCCUGUUCGAGCGUCAUUUAACCCCUCAAGCACUGCUUGGUGUUGGGCAUUUUGUCUACGGACUCGCCCCAAAUCUAUUGGCAGCAGCCUUACCAGCUUCUUGUGCAGUACAAUGCGCUUCGAGAAGCCUGUGUAGUGGUGUGCAAUCCAGUAAGCAACUGUUUAUUUUGACCUCGAAUCAGGUAGGGAUACCCGCUGAACUUAAGCAUAUCAAUAAGCGGAGGA
RNAcentral lists this unclassified non-coding RNA (329 nucleotides) under soil metagenome. RNAcentral's name for it is "partial contains 5.8S ribosomal RNA, internal transcribed spacer 2, and large subunit ribosomal RNA". The stretch from base 1 to 120 matches the Rfam family "5.8S ribosomal RNA", at positions 35 to 154 of the family's 154-position model. The record is from RNAcentral.